Molecule: unclassified non-coding RNA, 337 nt
Filed under: soil metagenome
Description: partial contains 5.8S ribosomal RNA, internal transcribed spacer 2, and large subunit ribosomal RNA
Rfam family: 5.8S ribosomal RNA (bases 1-120)
Source: RNAcentral
GAUGAAGAACGCAGCGAAAUGCGAUAAGUAAUGCGAAUUGCAGAAUUCAGUGAAUCAUCGAAUCUUUGAACGCACAUUGCGCCCCUUGGUAUUCCAUGGGGCAUGCCUGUUCGAGCGUCAUUUGUACCUUCAAGCUUUGCUUGGUGUUGGGUGUUUGUCUCGCCUCCGCGUGUAGACUCGCCUCAAAACAAUUGGCAGCCGGCGUAUUGAUUUCGGAGCGCAGUACAUCUCGCGCUUUGCACUCACAACGACGACGUCCAAAAGUACAUUUUUACACUCUUGACCUCGGAUCAGGUAGGGAUACCCGCUGAACUUAAGCAUAUCAAUAAGCGGAGGA